Molecule: ribosomal RNA, 253 nt
Filed under: uncultured bacterium
Lineage: Bacteria
Description: partial 16S ribosomal RNA
Rfam family: Bacterial small subunit ribosomal RNA
Source: RNAcentral
UACGUAGGGUGCAAGCGUUGUCCGGAAUUAUUGGGCGUAAAGAGCUCGUAGGCGGCUUGUCACGUCGGUUGUGAAAGCCCGGGGCUUAACCCCGGGUCUGCAGUCGAUACGGGCAGGCUAGAGUGUGGUAGGGGAGAUCGGAAUUCCUGGUGUAGCGGUGAAAUGCGCAGAUAUCAGGAGGAACACCGGUGGCGAAGGCGGAUCUCUGGGCCAUUACUGACGCUGAGGAGCGAAAGCGUGGGGAGCGAACAGG